This 149-nucleotide non-coding RNA is filed under the name Thalassiosira punctigera. Lineage: Eukaryota; Bacillariophyta; Thalassiosirophyceae; Thalassiosirales; Thalassiosiraceae. The record is from RNAcentral.
UCAAGAGGGCGGCCAAGCCGGUGGACAUGAACGACAGGGAGUCUCUCGUGAACGCCGUAAGGACGUGUUUGUCGUCCAAGGUGGUGUCCCAGAACAGCGACCUGCUCGCGCCGCUGGCGGUGGAUUCCGUGCUGGGGAUAUUGGGACCG